RNAcentral lists this long non-coding RNA (921 nucleotides) under Sinocyclocheilus anshuiensis. RNAcentral's name for it is "lncRNA (ENSSANG00000028115.1)". Lineage: Eukaryota; Metazoa; Chordata; Actinopteri; Cypriniformes; Cyprinidae. The record is from RNAcentral.
UUUCGGCAGUGAGUGUUAGCCUCCGGUUUAGUUAGCCUUCUAGACACAACCGUGUUGAAGUUGACAAAUCAAGUCCAUAAUAUAAGUAGCGGAACACGGAUAAGAGCUUUUUACAUACAAGCGCUGCGUUACAUAUUUUGAAGCUAAUUUAGGAGUUUUUCCGGAACCGUGUUAAAGAUGAAAUUAUUUUCCACGGUCUUCUCCGCGGUAAUUUCGGUUGCUGUGUGUGUUGCUCAGUUGAAUUUGGAGGCAACUGAUGGAGAAAAUGUUACCAUAUCCUUCAAAACGGCUGGACUGGAGAGAGCCGAUCAAGUGAAGAUAACUUUGACAAGAGGAAGUCAGAAAAAUCUUAUUGCGCAGUACUGUCGCUGUGCCCAUUGUGGAGACUGUGAUGCCGUGGAAACACCGGGAGUCUUACUGAGAAUUGAAGAAGGAACCUUAACUCUUCUACGUGUCCGCUCCAAUAACUCAGGCCUCUAUGAAGUAAUAAUCAUUGGAAAUAACAUGUCUGAGAUGAAAGUUACGCUCGUUGUCAGCAAACCACCAUUUUCCUCCAGUAGAGAGCCAAGACAAACCUCCAUCUCAAAACCUCCCAACUUCUCUGAAAGACACAGGCUAUAUGUAUUACCUGCUCUAGUUGUAUUCAUCCUGGGGGUCUUAGGGGUUUAUUUGCUCUAUAUAUGGAAGAGGGCAAGUAUUCAUUUUUUAUUAUUUUUUGUUUUUUUAUAUUGACAGAAAUUAGUUGCUAAUGUUCUAAUGAUCUAAGGCCGUAUUCACCAAAAAAUGUUAAGGCUAAAAGUUGCUCCUAAUGCAGAAACUUAAGUUUUGACGAUUCUAUAUAUUAUAAAAUAAGAAAUGCACAGAGUUAAGUUCAGUUCCAAAUUAUUUCUCUGGCUAGGAGAAAUACUUUAGAACCAAGCA